RNAcentral lists this ribosomal RNA (384 nucleotides) under Triticum aestivum (bread wheat). Its description in RNAcentral is "partial small subunit ribosomal RNA". The record is from RNAcentral. Lineage: Eukaryota; Viridiplantae; Streptophyta; Magnoliopsida; Poales; Poaceae.
AUGAAUAAAACCUUUAAUGGUCAUACACCCAAUGAAAAUAGUUUGUUGGAUCUCGAUCGUAGUGAUACACAUAUUCAUAAUAUUGAUGCCAAAAGAUGCAAAGUUAAUAAUGAUAGUGCAACUUAUUUGUGGCACUGCCGUUUGGGUCAUAUCGGUGUAAAGCGCAUGAAGAAACUCCAUAAAGAUGGAUUUUCGGAAUCACUUGGUUAUGAAUCAUUUGAUGCUUGCAAACUGUGCCUUUUGGGCAAGAUUACUAAAACUCCAUUCUUCGGAACAAUGGAACGAGCUACUGACUUGUUGGGAAUAAUACAUACCGAUGUAUGUGAUCCAAUGAGUGUUGAUGCUCGUGGCAAGUAUCGUUAUUUUCUGACCUUCACAAGAUGA